This is a long non-coding RNA of Cynara cardunculus var. scolymus (artichoke), 1892 nucleotides long. RefSeq lists it as uncharacterized. The transcript has 5 exons. The record is from RefSeq and is a predicted model, not a curated record. NCBI's taxonomy places the organism in Eukaryota, Viridiplantae, Streptophyta, Magnoliopsida, Asterales, Asteraceae.
AAGGUUGUUGCAUGCCAGGGAGAUGGAGAUUGAAGAAAUUGACUGAUAGUAAGUGAUUUUUCUAACAAUCUUGAUUGUGUUUAUGUUUCUUAUUCUAAGAGGGUAUAAGUAGUUGGUUAAUCUUGUUUCUUGUACAAUAUAUAUAUAUUGUAGGUAACUAGUGGAACUUCAUUUUUAGAAUUUCUGUCAAUGUUUUUCCAUUCCAUCAGUAUGUUUGGGUUUCUUACGACUAUUAAAGUUUGAUUUGAGUAUACUUUUGUUUUUCCUUUUGUCGCUUUGUUUUGUGAGGGAAGUGAAAAAGACAUAAAAGUAUACUCAAAUCAAACUUUAAUAGUCGUAAGAAACCCAAACAUACUGAUGGAAUGGAAAAACAUUGACAGAAAUUCUAAAAAUGAAGCUCCACUAGUUACCUACAAUAUAUAUAUUGUACAUAAAACAAGAUUAACCAAUUACCUAUGCCCUCUUAGAAUAAGAAAUAUAAACACAAUCAUGAUUGUUAGAAAAAUCACUUACUAUCAGUCAAUUUCUUCUUGAGCUCUUCAAUCUCCAUCUCCGUGGCAUGCAACAACCUUUUGGUUUCAUUCAGCUUAUCGACCGCCUCUUGCAGAUUCUCUUUGAGUGGAGGGAUUAGAAGAGCAAGUUCUGCCAUAGUAUGCUCCUUAGUCCUAAUGGUAUUCUCCUCCUCCACCAUUUACGUUUCCAUGUCAUCCAGUAUUGCUUUGAUGGAAUUUAUUUUUUCACGGAAGAUGGACAAGGCCAUUUCUGCUAUCUCACAAUGGGAGGAAAUCAAGAUGAUUGCAGCUUUGUUUUGUGAGGGAAGUGAAAAAGCCAGAAAAGUAUACUCAAAUCAAACUUUAAUAGUCGUAAGAAACCCAAACAUACUGAUGGAAUGGAAAAACAUUGACAGAAAUUCUAAAAAUGAAGCUUCUCUGCUCCACUAGUUACCUACAAUAUAAAGAACAAGAAACCCUCUUAGAAUAAGAAACAUAAACACAAUCAAGAUUGUUAGAAAAAUCACUUACUAUCAGUCAAUUUUCUUCAAUCUCCAUCUCCGUGGCAUGCAACAACCUUUUGGUUUCAUUCUGAGUAAAAAAGAUUAAGGAGGUAUUUUCCGGUGGUAUCGAAUCUCUGGUUAGACUAGCUACUGAGUUCAGUGGAAAUUCUGAAACAACACUCAGUAAUAUAAAUUCUGAAGCUGUCAAGCAUUCUUCUGCCCUUGCUGAACUUAUAAAAGAAGCUUCAGUCAAGGUCGGUGACAUACUUGAUGAUUUGCAAAGUAACCUUAAUGAUCAGGAGCAAAGCAUAGCUGCAUUUUGGCAACAGCAGCAUGAGAGCCAGUUGAGAGCAUAUGAGACAACCCAAUCUGCAUCUAGUGUUACAGUGAAUUUCUUCAUCACAAAGUGUCAGACAUGCAUGGUUUCCUGUCCUCCACAGAAGAUGAAUACACACGUUUCUUGGAAAAAACAAAGAAGCAUUACAUGGGCAAGAUGGUUUGACAGCAAUACUCCAAAACUGGACAACCAAGGCAAGGACAGGGGAUGAAGGGUGGAAGCAAGUCCAAGAAUCUCUGAGCAGUCUGCAGAAAAUGCAUAUAGAAUCCGUAGAUUCCACAAUCAACUAAGUUCAUGUCACUCCGCCACUGUGAUGCCCUUGAAACCAACCAAGCAAGCAAUCAACACUCAAUUGUCAUCCUUGGCCUCUUCAACAGUGGAAGAAAUAGAUAUUGCACAAAGUAGUUCUCUCCCAUCCGUUGAAUGUAAGCUAUUUGUGAUCUAAGAAUAUUUCUCCUUCCACCCCGGAAGACUCGCACAAUUCCCAUUUUUGGGUUGCCUGAUAUUAACUGCAAUGUUCUAUUUUUGGCAAGAUUUCAAGUUCAAAUUACCUAUUAGCCC